RNAcentral lists this ribosomal RNA (465 nucleotides) under uncultured bacterium. RNAcentral describes it as "partial 16S ribosomal RNA". It matches the Rfam family "Bacterial small subunit ribosomal RNA", at positions 338 to 795 of the family's 1533-position model. The record is from RNAcentral.
CCUACGGGAGGCAGCAGUAGGGAAUCUUCCACAAUGGGCGAAAGCCUGAUGGAGCACCGCCGCGUGGGUGAAGAAGGUCUUCGGAUCGUAAAACCCUGUUGUUAGAGAAGAAAGUGCGUGAGAGUAACUGUUCACGUUUCGACGGUAUCUAACCAGAAAGCCACGGCUAACUACGUGCCAGCAGCCGCGGUAAUACGUAGGUGGCAAGCGUUAUCCGGAUUUAUUGGGCGUAAAGGGAACGCAGGCGGUCUUUUACGUCUGAUGUGAAAGCCUUCGGCUUAACCGGAGUAGUGCAUUGGAAACUGGGAGACGUGAGUGCAGAAGAGGAGAGUGGAACUACAUGUGUAGCGGUGAAAUGCGUAGAUAUAUGGAAGAACACCAGUGGCGAAAGCGGCUCUCUGGUCUGUAACUGACGCUGAGGUUCGAAAGCGUGGGUAGCAAACAGGAUUAGAUACCCUUGUAGUC